ACACCUGGCCAUGGCUGGUCGC
RNAcentral lists this unclassified non-coding RNA (22 nucleotides) under Mus musculus (house mouse). RNAcentral describes it as "oocyte_clustered_small_RNA5486". The record is from RNAcentral. Lineage: Eukaryota; Metazoa; Chordata; Mammalia; Rodentia; Muridae.